Molecule: ribosomal RNA, 281 nt
Filed under: uncultured bacterium
Lineage: Bacteria
Description: partial 16S ribosomal RNA
Rfam family: Bacterial small subunit ribosomal RNA
Source: RNAcentral
UGCAAGUCGAGGGGCAGCACGUCUUCGGAUGGUGGCGACCGGCGCACGGGUGCGUAACGCGUAUGCAACCUACCUUUAACUGGAGCAUAGCCCCGAGAAAUCGGGAUUAAUACUCCAUAACAUUUUUGAGUGGCAUCACUUAAAAUUAAAGCUUUGGCGGUUAAAGAUGGGCAUGCGUGACAUUAGUUUGUUGGUGAGGUAACGGCUCACCAAGACUUCGAUGUCUAGGGGUUCUGAGAGGAUUAACCCCCACACUGGUACUGAGACACGGACCAGACUCC